RNAcentral lists this transfer RNA (81 nucleotides) under Jonquetella anthropi DSM 22815. It matches the Rfam family "tRNA". From Rfam's summary of the family: Transfer RNA (tRNA) molecules are approximately 80 nucleotides in length. Their secondary structure includes four short double-helical elements and three loops (D, anti-codon, and T loops). Lineage: Bacteria; Thermotogati; Synergistota; Synergistia; Synergistales; Dethiosulfovibrionaceae. The record is from Rfam by way of RNAcentral.
GCCCGGGUGACGGAAUGGUAGACGUUGGGGACUUAAAAUCCCCUGCCUUUGGGCGUGCGGGUUCGAUUCCCGCCCCGGGCA